This 448-nucleotide ribosomal RNA is filed under the name uncultured bacterium. RNAcentral describes it as "bacterial SSU rRNA". It matches the Rfam family "Bacterial small subunit ribosomal RNA", at positions 329 to 794 of the family's 1533-position model. The record is from RNAcentral.
CCCCAGACUCCUACGGGAGGCAGCAGUGGGGAAUAUUGCACAAUGGGGGAAACCCUGAUGCAGCAACGCCGCGUGAGUGAAGAAGUCAUUCGUGAUGUAAAGCUCUAUCAGCAGGGAAGAAAAUGACGGUACCUGAGUAAGAAGCCCCGGCUAACUACGUGCCAGCAGCCGCGGUAAUACGUAGGGGGCAAGCGUUAUCCGGAUUUACUGGGUGUAAAGGGAGCGUAGACGGCUGUGCAAGCCAGAUGUGAAAGCCCGGGGCUCAACCCCGGGACUGCAUUUGGAACUGCGUGGCUUGAGUGCAGGAGGGGCAGGCGGAAUUCCUGGUGUAGCGGUGAAAUGCGUAGAUAUCAGGAGGAACACCGGUGGCGAAGGCGGCCUGCUGGACUGCAACUGACGUUGAGGCCCGAAAGCGUGGGGAGCAAACAGGAUUAGAUACCCGAGUAGU